Molecule: long non-coding RNA, 563 nt
Organism: Chiroxiphia lanceolata (lance-tailed manakin)
Lineage: Eukaryota; Metazoa; Chordata; Aves; Passeriformes; Pipridae
Exons: 2
Source: RefSeq, a predicted model, not a curated record
GGCCGGAGCCCCCUGUAAGCAGGGGUGCAGCCUCUUUGGCCACUGCUUUGCAGGCCCAGCUGCCUUUGCCCAGAGGGCCCGGCUCCCAGCAGCGGAUGGGACUGCAUUGCUGUGAAGCCGUGGGAGAAGAAAGAAGAGACAGGAGUGGACCUUCGAGGCAAGAGCCAAGAAGAAGAAGAGCAGCAUCGAGCUCAAGAUGGGGCAUGACAGAGACCCUUUGGGCAAAGGCACCUCCCUGGCACUUAUUGGGAGUUGAAAAUAAUAAAUUCCAUAUCUAGUUUAUUGUCUGUUGUAUAGUUUUAUAUGUACUCUAUAUGUUUUUGAGUCCUGCAUUUUCAGUGGUUAAUUUUUGGUGCAGUAUUAUGCAUAUUUAUGUUUCUCCUUAUACAGUCAUUAUUUGAAUCCUCUGCCUUAACUCCACCCCUUGUUCUGGCACCUUCCCUACCCUGUAGUAUAUAAGGUGGGAGCCAUUUUGUGUCACGGUUUUUUCUACCCUUAUCCUGCGCCUGUUCAUCCUCUUCCUUUGAAGACAAUAAAACCUUUUAGCUGCUUUCACUCCAAAA